This is a long non-coding RNA of Mizuhopecten yessoensis (Yesso scallop), 2037 nucleotides long. RefSeq lists it as uncharacterized. The transcript has 4 exons. The record is from RefSeq and is a predicted model, not a curated record. Lineage: Eukaryota; Metazoa; Mollusca; Bivalvia; Pectinida; Pectinidae.
UUACAAAUAGGUAUAACUUUUUCGUACCUUUUCAGUAACUUUUUUGUACUCCUGAUAAAAGGUACAAAAAAGUUAUAACUUUUCGAUACCUUAAUUUAAACUUAAACUUUACUAGUGUACCUUUUUGUAACUUCUCUGGACUUUAAAAAAUUCUGGUAUAACUUUUAGUACCUUUUUCUGGACUUAGAAAAAAAUUGCACUGCUGGUGAAAAACUUUGAACAUUUUUAGUAUAACUUUUUGUACCUUUUCUGGACUUAGAAAAAAAUUGCAAUGCUGGUGAAAAACUUUGAAUAUUUUUGGUAUAACUUUUUGUACCUUUUCUGGACUCAGAAAACAAUGCCAAUUCUUGUGAAAAACUUUGUAACUUUAAAGUUAGAACAUUUUUGGUACAGUGGAACCCAGUUACAUAUAUAUAUCGGUUAUAAUGAGAUUUUCCCCCCAUGUACCCAUUUUUUCCUUCUUUAACUAGGCAAAAAAAUAUCAUUUAUUAUUAUAUGGUCAAAGGUAGGAACCCGCUUAUUAUGGUGUUUUUUUUCUGCUGUGAAUUGAUUUUAAAAGUAAGUUGUCCAUGUGAAACACCUGGACAAUUACGUAAUAGGUCCGGCUAACUGUACAUCGCCCGAGGUAAUCAUCGGUCCACUUCAGGUAAAUUUUUCACACCUCGCUCCACCCCAGUCAGCGGAAAACAAUAGAUCGACCAUCGCUUGCUGGUCAUACAUUUUGGUCUUAACAAAACAUAUGGUGCAGUUAAUUGCUGUAGGACUGUAUAUCAAAUUAAAAUAAUUAGACCUACUGAACACAAAUUCCGAUAAGACAACGAGCAUGCCUUUCACAAAUAUUCACGGUUACCUUGACCAAUCAUGUGAGAAAAUCAUGCCGAUUUCAAUGAAAAUAUUACUUCAGAAGGAAGACCUGUGUAUUUAAUCAUUUAAGCAAUAGUUUCUCAAUUGCAUUAGAAGUCGAUUUCCCGUGUUUCCGUUGAAAAAGAGUCAAAUUCGAGACAUACAUUUGUAACGACAGCAUGGUGCCGGAAAUCGUUCCAAAGGUUUUACGUUAUUGUCGUAAACAACUUACGACGGCUGCUUGGUUAUUGUUACAAAGGGAAUAUUUUUUGUUUUCAAUUAUUAUGGUUGUGUCCAUACUAUUUGUAUUUAACAAUAAAUAGUUAUGAUUAAUAUGAUGUAGGACUUUAUCGUUAUUGCAGCGACGCCCUAUGCGAAAAAUUAAUCUCGCGUGACUAUAAAUAGCCUUAUCAAAUUGGCCAAUGAAAAGCGCGCGGGUAAAUUUUGUAUUCGAUCGACCUCUAGAUUUUGAACUCUAACCCGGCGAGUCACAAGAAGUAAACAAAAUAUUGGAACGUGUUUUGGUUAACUGGAAAGACGAUACCUACUUCAUCAUAUCCUUGAAGACAUUGGAACGUCCGUGAAAGAGCUUGGUAUAUACGCAUUUGCUGAUGAAAUCCUUCAUGAAUCCCAGGUUUUCUGGGGAAUAUCAUGGGAAGAUCGUCGCCAUUUCAGGGAAUAUUUCAGAUGAUAACAAGAGCUGUGCACACUGAUGGGGGAAAAUACAGGCAGAAACAACAGAUGAAGAAUUCUCAGCUCCACCUCAUGAGUCUGUUAUAGAGGUCCAUGAACCUCCCCCUCAACCCCCUGCUGCAAAGAGAAUCAGUGCCGAAAACAAAUCAAACAAAGAUGGUGGAGCUUAUACCUGGGACUGGGGUUUAUGUGUAUCCCAAACACAUAAAAACUACACAGAGGAAGACGAAGGGGAACAGGUCGACAGAUAUUUGAUGUCAGUGUUCUUCACCAACACUGAGCUGGUCAACCUGGGAAAGGUUUGAACCAGACCAUUGUUUGAGCAAUAAUUGAUUAUGCUGAGGCGAUUCAUGGGAAAAGUGGCCUGUCAGAAAUCAAGUUUUCAAUGAGGACAAAAAUCAGUGCUUUGGUCAGCUUGGCCAGGAGGAACUCAACCACAUAGAACAAAUGAGACAUUUCAACUUUUAAGAACUAUUAAUAUGAUUGUUUGUUGUAACUUUA